This 332-nucleotide unclassified non-coding RNA is filed under the name soil metagenome. RNAcentral describes it as "partial contains 5.8S ribosomal RNA, internal transcribed spacer 2, and large subunit ribosomal RNA". The stretch from base 1 to 120 matches the Rfam family "5.8S ribosomal RNA", at positions 35 to 154 of the family's 154-position model. The record is from RNAcentral.
GAUGAAGAACGCAGCGAAAUGCGAUAAGUAAUGUGAAUUGCAGAAUUCAGUGAAUCAUCGAAUCUUUGAACGCACAUUGCGCCCGCUAGUAUUCUGGCGGGCAUGCCUGUUCGAGCGUCAUUUCAACCAUCAAGCCCUGUUUAGGCUUGUGUUGGGGCCCUGCGGUUGCCGCAGCCCCCUAAAUGCAGUGGCGGGCUCGUUGUCACUCCGAGCGCAGUAGCGUAUCUCGCUCUGGGCGUGGCGGCGGGUGCUAGCCGUGAAACACCCUCUAAGGUUGACCUCGGAUCAGGUAGGAAUACCCGCUGAACUUAAGCAUAUCAAUAAGCGGAGGA